AGAUUGAACGCUGGCGGCAUGCCUUACACAUGCAAGUCGAACGGCAGCACGGGAGCAAUCCUGGUGGCGAGUGGCGAACGGGUGAGUAAUGCAUCGGAACGUGCCCUGAAGUGGGGGAUAACGUAGCGAAAGUUACGCUAAUACCGCAUAUUCUGUGAGCAGGAAAGCAGGGGAUCGCAAGACCUUGCGCUUUAGGAGCGGCCGAUGUCGGAUUAGCUAGUUGGUGAGGUAAAGGCUCA
RNAcentral lists this ribosomal RNA (239 nucleotides) under uncultured soil bacterium. Its description in RNAcentral is "partial 16S ribosomal RNA". It matches the Rfam family "Bacterial small subunit ribosomal RNA", at positions 26 to 267 of the family's 1533-position model. The record is from RNAcentral.